This 262-nucleotide ribosomal RNA is filed under the name uncultured archaeon. Its description in RNAcentral is "partial 16S ribosomal RNA". It matches the Rfam family "Archaeal small subunit ribosomal RNA", at positions 748 to 1009 of the family's 1478-position model. The record is from RNAcentral.
CAGCCGUAAACUAUGCGCGUUAGGUGUAUCGGUGACCACGAGUUACCGAGGUGCCGAAGGGAAACCGUGAAACGUGCCGCCUGGGAAGUACGGUCGCAAGGCUGAAACUUAAAGGAAUUGGCGGGGGAGGCACCACAACAGGUGGAGCCUGCGGUUUAAUUGGACUCAACGCCGGGAAGCUCACCGGAUAGGACAGCAGAAUGAUUGCCGGGCUGAAGACCCUGCAUGACUAGCUGAGAAGUGGUGCAUGGCGUAGACGUCU